Molecule: ribosomal RNA, 468 nt
Filed under: uncultured bacterium
Lineage: Bacteria
Description: partial 16S ribosomal RNA
Rfam family: Bacterial small subunit ribosomal RNA
Source: RNAcentral
GACGAACGCUGGCGGCGUGCUUAACACAUGCAAGUCGAACGGAAAGGCCCUGCUUUUGUGGGGUGCUCGAGUGGCGAACGGGUGAGUAACACGUGAGUAACCUGCCCUUUACUUUGGGAUAACUUCAGGAAACUGGGGCUAAUACCGGAUAGGAGCUCCUGCUGCAUGGUGGGGGUUGGAAAGUUUCGGCGGUUGGGGAUGGACUCGCGGCUUAUCAGCUUGUUGGUGGGGUAGUGGCUUACCAAGGCUUUGACGGGUAGCCGGCCUGAGAGGGUGACCGGCCACAUUGGGAUUGAGAUACGGCCCAGACUCCUACGGGAGGCAGCAGUGGGGAAUAUUGCACAAUGGGCGGAAGCCUGAUGCAGCAACGCCGCGUGCGGGAUGACGGCCUUCGGGUUGUAAACCGCUUUCGCCUGUGACGAAGCGUGAGUGACGGUAAUGGGUAAAGAAGCACCGGCUAACUACGUG